Molecule: ribosomal RNA, 388 nt
Filed under: Prasinoderma sp.
Lineage: Eukaryota; Viridiplantae; Prasinodermophyta; Prasinodermophyceae; Prasinodermales; Prasinodermaceae
Description: partial small subunit ribosomal RNA
Rfam family: Eukaryotic small subunit ribosomal RNA
Source: RNAcentral
AUUCCAGCUCCAAUAGCGUAUAUUUAAGUUGUUGCAGUUAAAAAGCUCGUAGUUGGAUUUUGGGUCGGGGGCACCGGUCCGCCGUUCCGGUGUGCACUGGUGGCCCCUUCCUUUCUGCCGGGGACGUGCGUCGCACUUAAUUGGGUGGCGUUCGGAGUCGGCGUUGUUACUUUGAAAAAAUUAGAGUGUUCAAAGCAAGCCAUCGCUCUGAAUACAUUAGCAUGGAAUAACAUGAUAGGACUCCGGUCUUAUUUUGUUGGUUUCCGAGACUGGAGUAAUGAUUAAGAGGGACAGUCGGGGGCACCCGUAUUUCAUUGUCAGAGGUGAAAUUCUUGGAUUUAUGAAAGACGAACUUCUGCGAAAGCAUUUGCCAAGGAUGUUUUCAUCA